RNAcentral lists this ribosomal RNA (529 nucleotides) under uncultured Bacteroidota bacterium. RNAcentral describes it as "bacterial SSU rRNA". It matches the Rfam family "Bacterial small subunit ribosomal RNA", at positions 8 to 524 of the family's 1533-position model. Lineage: Bacteria; Pseudomonadati; Bacteroidota. The record is from RNAcentral.
AGAGUUUGAUCCUGGCUCAGGAUGAACGCUAGCUACAGGCUUAACACAUGCAAGUCGAGGGGAAACGGCAUUUAGUGCUUGCACUGAAUGGACGUCGACCGGCGCACGGGUGAGUAACGCGUAUCCAACCUACCCAUUACUGUGGGAUAACCUGCCGAAAGGCAGACUAAUACCGCAUAGUCUUCGAUGACGGCAUCAGAUUUGAAGUAAAGAUUUAUCGGUAAUGGAUGGGGAUGCGUCUGAUUAGCUUGUUGGCGGGGUAACGGCCCACCAAGGCGACGAUCAGUAGGGGUUCUGAGAGGAAGGUCCCCCACAUUGGAACUGAGACACGGUCCAAACUCCUACGGGAGGCAGCAGUGAGGAAUAUUGGUCAAUGGACGAGAGUCUGAACCAGCCAAGUAGCGUGCAGGAUGACGGCCCUAUGGGUUGUAAACUGCUUUUGUAUGGGGAUAAAGUCAAUCACGUGUGAUUGUUUGCAGGUACCAUACGAAUAAGGACCGGCUAAUUCCGUGCCAGCAGCCGCGGUAAU